AUGAUGCUCUCCCGGCUUGCCCAGAGGAAGCAUUUCCCGCUUCCUGGAUCCCAGAUGGAUUUAACCAGAACCUGGGAGCUUUCAGGUCAGAAGGAGUUCCAAGAUAGCAUGGGGGAGUGUCAAGAGGAUGAAGCCAGCCUCUUCUCCGUGGUGCCCAGCAACAGGACAAGAGGCAAUGGGCACAAACUGAAGCACAGGCAGUUCCAUCUGAACCUGAGAAAAAACUUCUUCACUGUGAGGGUGACAGAGCAUUGGAACAGGUUGCCCAGAGAGGUGGUGGAGUCUCCUUCGCUGGAGAUAUUCAAAAGCCGUCUGGAUGUGAUCCUGGGCAAUAUGCUCUAGGUGACCCUGCUUGAACAGGAAGGUUGGACUAGAUGAUCUCCAGAGGUCCCAUCCAACCUAAACGAUUCUGUGAUUCUGUGAUUCACUUCCUUCUCAAUUCACGUUCUUCAAGAUAAUUCUUAGACUAAGACCUUUGAAAUCAUCUCUUUCUCAAGCUCCAAAAAACUUAUAAAGUGAAAGAAGUCAUUAAUGUCAAACUUGUUGUCAAGUAGUUAUUCAAACUGCCAAGUAACAGCAUGAUAGCAACAAAGAAUAACACCCAGUAUUUUGCAUAUGAAAUAUGUUGACCUUGCAUAGUUCUGACUCACACAAUAAGUACUUUUGUAACCAGUGUCCAGUUUCAAGUGUUUAUGAAAGAGAAUUUCCUCUGGAAAGAAGGUAAAAAAAUGAAAUUUAUUUCCAGUCUGCCUGAUGGUUAAGGUGUAUGUUUAAAAUAUUCUGACUGAAAAAAAAAAUCAGAUGCAUAUUAUUGUUAGAUAUUAUUUGCUUGCUUGGUCACUGAAGUUUUAAAGGACAAAUGACAGGCAUUCAGCAGAACAUUGGUAAGCUGUUCUACGUAGAGCUUUCCUUGUGGCACCCACAGUCAUUCGAGUGGAAAUGAGAGUCCAGACUGAACAAAUCUUUACGACAUGUUUACUGGCCAGCAGGUCACAACAAUUAGAAAAUGAAGCUGGAUUAAGGUAAAAACACAAACUAUAACAAUAGUCUACUUUUUUGGUCUCUUUUAGAUGCACAUUUUUCCUCUUCAGAUACUAGAGGGUUAAUUAUCGACAUAUUUCGAAUUGGACUCUGCCCGUGGCAGUGCUGUGUUACUGUGGGUGUCUCCAAGCUCCUUGCUAGAGCCUGCUUUGUGAAAAGGGUUUGUUGUUCUUCCAGAUAACAUCUCUGUUUUAACAUUGGAUGAAAAUAGAUGAUAGGGAUAUGCUUGCUCAGUUCUUCUGCACGUUUAUUUAGCAACAUAUGUUAGGAAAGUGGCACCCGUUGCUAAAAUGAAAAUAUCCAAUUCAUGUUGACAGCAGGAUCUGCCAGCUCUGGUUUUUUGGAUAUUUUUUUACCCGCGUUGCCAGUAGGCAGCAGAUGUACAGCAUGUUUGUUACUGAAAUCUCCCUGAAAAAAAAGGCAAAAAAGGCUCAAUGAGAACAAAAUGUGGUGAAGCAUCUCCUCAUUCAGGUGGUAAUUUUUUGUUUUAAAUAGAAUGCUAUACAUUAGGCAACAUGUCAACAUACCUAUAUCCCUAAAGUAGCGUGGAAUUUUAGGUCAUUUUAUUAUUCUUUUAUGUUAAUUGCCUUGUGACUGACAGACUUUGAAGUAGUGUAUUUUUCUCUUAACAUACAAGCUGGAAAAGUGCCCAAAGCAUUAGCUCAUCAACCAGCCAUUUGUACCUGCUGCUCACUGUCUACUACCGCUAAAUAUAUGCUAAUGAUGCUAUCUGAAUCUUGGGAGGAUCAGGAUGAAUUUGUAAAUUGUGCUCAUGCCAGGAAAAUGAAUGCUACUUACAAAGAUGACAAAGAAAGCAGCUGCUUUUAGAUGAGAUGAAUCACCACAUUACAUGUUACUCUUGGGUAAUAAAUUGUAUUUCCUCUCUUGAAAUCA
This 1935-nucleotide long non-coding RNA is filed under the name Struthio camelus australis. RNAcentral describes it as "lncRNA (ENSSCUG00000011860.1)". The record is from RNAcentral. Lineage: Eukaryota; Metazoa; Chordata; Aves; Struthioniformes; Struthionidae.